AUGCUAUCGUAUUCAUUUCUGAUUUGCUUUGUAUUCAAAAGACAUCCUGUUAUUUAUUUUUUCAGAUGGUUGUUGAAAUCCAGCAAUACCACCCGUGGAUCGGCCUUCAUAAUUGUUCCCGGGGCCCGGCCCCACGCCGGACAUGUCACGGCACUCGAUAAACGUCUACGGAGGGCGUCCUCACCGCCUACCCGCCGAGGAGAAAGUGAUCACACGUGUCCCGUUUUCCAUUGCACGCCGGGGCUAGGUCGCAGACGUCCUGGGUUCGCGGAUCACGCGUAAGUUUCUUCGGGGCCCCCCCCCCGGGUCGAGCAGCGGGAGGUGACGAUAAAGCAGCUGACGGUCGUGGCCGGUUGGGGCCGUGAGUAGGGGUGCCGCCACGAAAAGCUGAGAGUGUGUGUGUGUGGGGGGGCGGUCCUUGUAGGGCGCUGCGCGUAUGCGGUCCGAGUUUUGGUUUUCAGCAGGCCAUCUCUCUUCAGCCCCUGGCGUUGACUCGCCACUUUGUCUUUGGGAGGGAAGGCGCAAAGGUUUUCAAGCAGCAGAACGUGCUGAGGUUCGGCAGGAGUGACUACCUAGGGAUCUACUCGCGCCUGUGGCCACCGAGAGACCAGUCCUGUGUGUUUUUCUUUUAAUGCUUAUUUAUUUAUUUUUGAGAGAGAGAGAGAGAGCAAGCACAAGUGGGGAGGGUCAGAGAGAGAGGGGAGACCCAGAAUCAGAAGCGGGCUCCGGGCUCCGAGCUGGCCGCACAGAGCCCGACGCGGGGCUCGAACCCACGGACCGGGAGCUCAUGACCUGAGCCGAAGUCGGACGCUUCACCGACUGAGCCACUCAAGCACGUCUUGUGUGCAUCCAUUUAAGCCUUGGCAGCCCCUUCUGGAAAAACAAAACAAAACAGACAAGAUAGCAGAUGCCGCCCGGGUGACAGAAGAAGCGUCUACCAAAAAUUAGGCCCAAAACACGCUCCCUUGGGGAGCUUUCUUGGGCAGGUGUUCCCUACCUCCCUUCCACACCAAAGAGGGUGGUGUCACCUCUGCCUUGAGAAUCUUAACCCACCUCGGAACACUUAUCUUUUCCUCUCUCCCCCUUUCUGGGAUCCCACUAAGCUGCUUCCUAGAAUCCUGACUUUUACCCCCUUCCUUAGACUUACUGAUAGAAAUGAGCUGGUGACAGCCGACCGCUCGGCUAGAUACCCUCGUACCUGGGACGGCAGCCGUUCAAAGACCUGUACAGACUCCAGAGACUUAAUAAAACAGGAGUGGGGCAGAUAGGAUACUUGCUA
Molecule: long non-coding RNA, 1279 nt
Filed under: Felis catus (domestic cat)
Lineage: Eukaryota; Metazoa; Chordata; Mammalia; Carnivora; Felidae
Description: lncRNA (ENSFCAG00000049483.1)
Source: RNAcentral